UACGUAGGGGGCAAGCGUUGUCCGGAAUUAUUGGGCGUAAAGAGCGUGUAGGCGGUCCGGUAAGUCAGCUGUGAAAGUCAAGGGCUCAACCCUUGAAUGCCGGUUGAUACUGUCGGGCUAGAGUCCGGAAGAGGCGAGUGGAAUUCCCGGUGUAGCGGUGAAAUGCGCAGAUAUCGGGAGGAAUACCGGUGGCGAAGGCGGCUCCCUGGACCGGUACUGACGCUGAGGCGCGAAAGCGUGGGGAGCAAACAGG
RNAcentral lists this ribosomal RNA (253 nucleotides) under uncultured bacterium. Its description in RNAcentral is "partial 16S ribosomal RNA". It matches the Rfam family "Bacterial small subunit ribosomal RNA", at positions 524 to 776 of the family's 1533-position model. The record is from RNAcentral.